UUUGUGCUUGUGGAUUCUAAAAGCCCUAAAAGGGUCAACAGGUAGCAAAGAGGCAAAAAGCUUAAUUUUUUGUCCUUGCUUUACAUUCAUUAAAGCCAAGCAUAAUGUGAGCUUUGCAGU
This is a small nucleolar RNA of Columba livia (rock pigeon), 120 nucleotides long. RefSeq annotates it as small nucleolar RNA SNORA17. The record is from RefSeq and is a predicted model, not a curated record. The transcript has a single exon. NCBI's taxonomy places the organism in Eukaryota, Metazoa, Chordata, Aves, Columbiformes, Columbidae.